AAUGAACGCUGGCGGCAUGCCUAACACAUGCAAGUCGAACGAGACCAUCGGGUCUAGUGGCGCAUGGGUGCGUAACGCGUGGGAACAUGCCCUUAGGUUUGGAAUAACUCCCCGAAUGGGGUGCUAAUACCGGAUCAUGUCUUCGGACCAAAGAUUUAUCGAGCUUGGAUGGGCGCGCGUUGGAUUAGCUGGUUGGUAGGGUAAAAGCCUACCAGGGCGAGGAUCCAUAGAUGGUUAGAGAGGAAGGUCAGCCACACUGGGAGUAGGACACGGCCCAGACUCUUACGGGAGGGAGCAGAGGGUAAUAUUGGAAAGUGGGGGGAGUGAUGAAGCAGCAAGGACGGGAAAGUGAUGAAGGCAGUGGGGAUGUAAAGCUCUUUUAACCGGGAUGGUAAUGACGGUACCGGGAGAAUAAGCUCCGGCUAACUCCGUG
This 433-nucleotide ribosomal RNA is filed under the name uncultured bacterium. Its description in RNAcentral is "partial 16S ribosomal RNA". It matches the Rfam family "Bacterial small subunit ribosomal RNA", at positions 29 to 507 of the family's 1533-position model. The record is from RNAcentral.